This 529-nucleotide long non-coding RNA is filed under the name Homo sapiens (human). RNAcentral's name for it is "non-protein coding LINC00999:2". Lineage: Eukaryota; Metazoa; Chordata; Mammalia; Primates; Hominidae. The record is from RNAcentral.
CUGGACCUACCAUGAAAGACUUCUGAAUCCAGGAAGAGAAACUGACUGGGCAACAUGUUAUUCAGAGAUGGGACCUCAGUAUGUUGCCACGGCUGACCUUGAACUCCUGCACUCAAGGGAUUUUCCUGCCCUGGCCUCCCGAAGUAUUGGUAUUACAGGCAUGAGCCAUUGUGCCCACCGUCUCUGGUUCUUAACCUUCUGCCUCCCUCUUCCAGUUUUAAAGAAUGCUUGUAAUUACACGGGCUCUCCUAGAUACUCCAGGAUAGUCUUGUUUUAAGGUCAGCUGAUGAGCAACAUUAAUUUUAUCUGCACUCUUAAUUCCCCCUUCCUAUGUAAUUGUGCUGUGUAACAUAGGACAUGAGCAAUUGCUGGCAGUGGGGGUUAUUAUUUUGGCCACCACAGUAACUAUUUUAUGCCAGGUACUCAGCUAAGCACUGGUGAAUUAAGCAUGAAUAACACACACUCCCUAAUCUCCAUCCAUUCAUGGGAGGAGCACCUCACCUGCCAUGCUCCUGAGAAUCUCAGGAGU